UGGGUAGCACCGUGAGAAUCCUGUUAUUUACCGCUGCGCUGCUGAUCGAUGCCUUUGGGCAACAAACAUCCUUUUUUGACCAGCCUCCGAGUGAUUACUAUCGAAGAACAUCAAUGAAUGAUUGCCCUACACGGUUCUAUUCAGAUCCAGAAAAAUUGAAUCUAACACACUUUGUUUACAAUGGCUUUCGCGUGUACCGUGGCGAAUUCCAGCACAUGGUGGCCAUCGGAUGGGUUCGGGUCAGUGGAAACAUUGAUUAUCUUUGUGGUGGAUCGCUGAUAACCGAUGACUUCGUACUGACUGCAGCCCAUU
Anopheles cruzii is the source of this 312-nucleotide long non-coding RNA. RefSeq lists it as uncharacterized. Lineage: Eukaryota; Metazoa; Arthropoda; Insecta; Diptera; Culicidae. The record is from RefSeq and is a predicted model, not a curated record. The transcript is spliced from 3 exons.